AUGUACCAUGAGCAGAACUUGGGAAGGGUGAAUGACAAACAAGCCCAUGAGAAGGAGGUGGCCAAGCUACAAAAGGAAAUUGAUUUCCUGUCAAACAACUACAGCCAGUUGGUGGAAGAUGUAUCCAAGCUAUUUGACUAUCAAGAUGGCAAGAUGUCUCAUGACAUGGACUAUACCAGUCAGGCAAUCAAUGAACUAAAUGAGAAGAAGAAACAACUUGAGGAUCAGGCAAAGAUUGAGUUAAGUAUGGAAAAGCUGAAGCUUGCCAAGGAGCAAAGGUGCAUUCUUCAAAGCCAAGCAGAUAUCAUUCAGAACAUGAGGAAGGCCAUGAAGGAAGUGGAGGGGGACAAGGACCUACUUAAGCAAGAGAAGAAGAAGCUGGAGUAUCUGAUUGCUGAUCUGCUCAAUGCUGGGCAUGCCAGCAAAGAUAAGCUGGAGAGGAUCAAGGCAAUUAUGAAUGAGUGA
RNAcentral lists this ribosomal RNA (465 nucleotides) under Triticum aestivum (bread wheat). Its description in RNAcentral is "partial small subunit ribosomal RNA". The record is from RNAcentral. Lineage: Eukaryota; Viridiplantae; Streptophyta; Magnoliopsida; Poales; Poaceae.